RNAcentral lists this long non-coding RNA (3582 nucleotides) under Pongo abelii (Sumatran orangutan). Its description in RNAcentral is "lincRNA". The record is from RNAcentral. Lineage: Eukaryota; Metazoa; Chordata; Mammalia; Primates; Hominidae.
GCCCUGCCAGCCACUGUUCUAAGCACUUUUUCCCUGUUCCUGCCGAUUUGUUCCUCACAACAACCAUUGGAAGUGGAGACUAUGAUUAUCCCCGUUGCACAGUAAGGAAACUGAGGCAAAGGGAGGUUAGGUAACUUGGCGAUGUCUCCCGGCUAGGGAUAGCAGAAUGGGACAGAAACGCAGGCCACCCGGCCUGGCGCGGUGGCUCACGCCUUUAAUCCCAGCACUCAGGGAGGCCGAGGCGGGCGGGUUACCUGGGGUCAGGAGUUCGAGACCAGCCUGCCAACAUGGUGAAACCCUAUCUCUACUAAAAAUACAAAAAUUAGUCGUGGUGGGCACCUGUAAUCCCAGCUACUCAGGAGGCUGAAGCAGAAGAAUCGCUUGAACCCAGGAGGCAGAGGUGGCAGUGAGCCGAGAUCACCCCACUGCACUUCAGCCUGGGUGGCAGAACGAGACUCUGUCUCAAAAAAAAGAAAGGCAGGCCACCCGGUGGUGGUCCCUGUGCUCCUCCCCACCCCCGCACUGUACUGGGCGAUGAGGAGGCGGCUGGCCCUGGAGGUGGGGGUAUGGAGUGGGGCACAUCAGAGAUUUCAAAUUGACCAAGGUCUGUUUUGUGUCAGUUUGUCAGUUUUAUGUGUCAGCUUGGCUAAACUAUGGUCUCCUGUUAUUUGAUCAAACACUAAUCUAUUUUUUCUUUUAGUUUAAAAAAAAAUAAUUAAAUGAACAAACCCUGGCUAAUGUAUUUUUUUGUAGAGACAGGGUUUUGCCACGUUGCCCAGGCUGGCCUCUGACCCUUGGGCUCAAGUGAUCUGCCACCAUGCCUAGCUAGCCUCAAACACUAAUCUAGAUGUUGCUUGAAGGCAUUUUGUAGAUGUGAUUUGUCUAUAAUUAGUUUACUUCAAGUAAGGGAGAUUAUCCCAGAUAAUCUGGGUGAGUCUGAAAGACAUUAUGGGUAGAACUGAGGUGCCCUUGAAGAGGAAGAAAUUCUGCCAGCCAAUAGCAAUUUCAGCUUGUGCUGAAGAGUUCCAUCCUUCCUAACAACCAGCCCUACAAAUUUCGGACUUGCCUAGCCAGCCCUGUGCGUAUAAACUAAUUCCUUGCAAUAAUCACACCUACACCCUCACCCCACCCCCCUCCCCAAAUAUAUGUAUAUAUGGAGAGAGAGGGAGAGAGAAUAUAAAAUCAUACAUAUAUCAUAUAUCUCCUAUUGGUUCUGUGUCUUUAAUUUCUCUAGUUGACCCCUGACUGAUGCAAUGACCCAAGAGCAGGCAGAUGCCCAGGGGGCGUUUAUGACACCUCUCCUAGGACUUGGCUCAAUCCGAGUCCCUUGUGAGUCCCUCAACGGCCAUCUGCAACCCUGAGGAGGGUAGCAAAAUCCCAGAUUGACUGAGAUUACAUUUCCAUCAUCAACAGCAAUGGAGAAUCAAUAAAGAAAUUUAGUUCAGAUAUUGAAAAAUGAAGAUGGCUGGACGCGGUGGCUCACACCUGUAAUCCCAGCACUUUGGGAGGCCGAGGCGGGUGGAUCACCUGAGGUCGGGAGUUUGAGACCGGCCUGGCCAACAUGGUGAAAACUCAUCUCUACUAAAAAUACAAAAAUUGGUUGUGGUGGGUGCCUGUAAUCCCAGCUACUCGGGAGGCUGAGGCAGGAGAAUCGUUUGAACCCAUUAGGCAGAGGUGGCAGUGAGCCGAGAUCACCCCAUUGCACUUCAGCCUGGGUGACAGAACAAGACUCUGUCUCAAGGAAAAAAAAAAAAAGAAGAAAGUCACAGUUUUUGCUCUAUCAAGUUUAUGUGCUAAGAUUCAUACCUCAUUUUAACAGCCUACAUCUACUUCUGCGUGCACCAGAAGGACAGAGGCACAAUAACACUGACCACACCAUAGGAAUAGCAGCAAUAGUUGCUACAAAACAUUUGCAAAUAAUCAGAUAAUAUAUCUGAUUAGGUCCUUGUAUCCCUAAUACAUAAAAAGCUCUUACUGCAACAACAAGUAGAAAAAAGAUCAAUUUAAAAAUGGGCAAAGGCAGGCUGGGCACAGUGGCUCACACCUGUCAUCCCAGCACUUAGGGAGUCUGAGGCAGGUACAUCACCUGAGGUCAGGAGUUUGAGACCAGCCUGGCCAACAUGGCGAAACUCCGUCUCUACUAAAAAUACAAAAUUGAGCCAGGCUUGGUGGUGGGAGCCUGUAAUCUCAGCUACUUGGGAACUAAGGCAGGAGAAUCGCUUGAACCCAGGAGAUGGAGGUUGCAGUGAGCUGAGAUCUCGCCAAUGCACUCCAGCCUGGGUGACACGAGUGAGACUCCGUCUCAAAAUAAAAUAAAAUAAAAUGGCAAAGGACUUGAAUAUCCAAAGAAGAUAAACAAACAGCCAAUAAGCAAACAAUACCUUCAAGCACAAAAGAUGCUCAACAUAAUUAGUCAUCAAGGAAAAGGCAAAUCAGAACCACAGGGGACUCACUUCACAUCCACUAGGAUGGCUAUAGUCCUUACAGUAAGAGAAUACCAGCGGGCAGGUAUUGUGCUUUACUUGUAUUAUGUAACUUAAUCCUCACGGUAGCCUCGUGAAGGAGGGAUGGCUAUAAGUUCAUUUACAAAAGAGGAACUGAGGCCUGGAAAGGUGAAAUGAUUGCCCCAGUGUUCCAUGGCUGGUCAGUGGGUGUCAGAAUUUAAGACCUGGGCUGUCUGAUUUCAAAGCUGUGCUAUAUAGCUUUAAUGACUGUGCUAUACUGGUCUCUAGCAAAAUUAUUGAAAAUUUCCCUCUCAGACCCACCAUUUACCUUUAUUGCUCCCAGGGACCCUCACAUGUGCUCCUUAGCUACCAAAAACAGACUUCUUCUUUCUCCUGGUAUUUGUCCCAUGUCCUUUGGUCAGCCCAGAACUCACUAGGAGGCUCCCAGAUGCUGUGUCCGUGUUUCUCCUCCAGACUGACGGCGCUGUUUGUGUCACUGCCUCAGGGCCACGUCACUGCUGCUGCCCCACUGGACUCCCCCGGUCCUAGCCACCAGCCACUCCCCUCCUUUCUCCUGGCUAGCAAGGUUUACUGACUACCAUAGAGGUGGAAAAUGCCAGACGCUCAGUUUCCCAGGUUCCCUUUACAGUUACAGGUGGCCAUGUGACCGUGUUCCGGUCAACGUCAUAUAAGGAGAGUCUUCUGAGAAAUAUUUUCUCUCCUGGCCAGAAUAAAGAGAGAGAGAGGGUGAGGUAGAUGGAAAGAGUGGGAAGCUGGGCGCAGUGGUUCACACCUGUAAUCCCAACACUUUGGGAGGCCGAGGCGGGUGGAUGACCUGAGGUCAGGAGUUCGAGACCAGCCUGCCCACAUGAUGAAACCCUGUCUCUACUAAAAAUACAAAAAUUAGCUGGGUGUGGUGGUGCGGGCCUGUAAUCCCAGCUAUUUGGGAGGCUGAGGCACGUGAAUCACUUGAACCCAGGAGGCGGAGAUUGCAGUGUGCCGAUCAUGCCACUGCACUCCAGCCUGGGCAACAGAGUGAGACUCCACCUUGAAAAAAAAUACACACACACACACACAAAAACAAAAACAAAAACAAAAACAAACAAACAAAAAAAACCGUGGGAGAGAGGGUAAGAGU